AGCUCUUCUUUUUUUGUAUUUGGUUAUUUAUAGGGUUUCUUAAAUUACAGUCUACUGAGUGAAGCUUGGAAAGAAUAAUUUCAGUGAUUUGAUUGAUGGUUCUUUCUAUCUAGGCCACUCAGUUUUAACCUCAUAUAUCAAGUUUUCUGCUGUUGAAAUCAAAGAGACCUAUUAUAUCAUUAUUGUAGACAUCUUUUGGCAACCCAUGUUGAAGGAGGAUCAGGAGGUCUAGGUGCUUUGC
Molecule: long non-coding RNA, 241 nt
Filed under: Bos taurus (domestic cattle)
Lineage: Eukaryota; Metazoa; Chordata; Mammalia; Artiodactyla; Bovidae
Description: long non-coding RNA NONBTAT010585
Source: RNAcentral